GGAGGUGUGAGCUGUGGGAGAGAGCUGACUAAGAAGAAGAAACUCCCCAGAAAGGUGGCCUGCCAGUCUUCACGAUGUAUGGGAGCAGGUGGGAAAAGAGCUGCAAGUGUUUGCAUUUCAUCAUUGAAAUUGUUGAAACUGCUGAUCAGGAAACACAGAAUGAGUUUAACCAGCGAUGCCAACUUCUGCAAGAUGGACUCCAGCUUGGGAGCUCUGUAUGGAAUAAAUAAGAUAUCCCAGACAUCAAAGCACUCAAUAAGGCACUGUAGAAAUGGCAACAAGGUAAAAGCCCACAAUGAUGGUGGUGGUGAGAAAGCAGGGCACCACAGAACGUGGCUUGGUUCUAGAGUGGUCUGUGCAGGGUUACAUUGAAGCUUCUGUCUUGGCUUGUCCUCUCCUCCUUGGUGUGCAUCCUCCUGGCCCUGUAGUCCUGGCAUCUUACCUUCUGCCUCCUCCUGCCAGUGACAUAGCUGUCUUGAAGCUGCUGCCUGCCAGCUCUUCCUCUGGCUAACCUCUGCUCCUUCUCUAGCUCCUCCUGGGGAGCAAGGAAGCAGGCAGUUUUGGGGGCAGAGGGCAGCCCAAUGGUCUGAAAUCAGGACUGAAAAGCACAUGUGUCCAGCUUGCCAGCCAGAAUGACAAACCUCUUUUUGUGCAGUUUCUUCUGUUCUGGACACUUUCUCCCACCGUCUCUCUCUUCUCUUUUUUACUCACGUGCUGCCCCACCCCCAGCAGCACAGCCACCCAUACAACAUACCCCCAGUUUCUGAGCAGAGGACAUGAAAUUAAUCUCCAGGGUAGGAAAAGGAAGUGUAUCAUUAGAACAGGUAUGAUUUAGGAAAGGGAAAACGUCAUUGGAAAGAAGCACAACCUUGAGCUAUCUGCCUAUUUUACAGACAUGAAGACCAAAGUUUUUAGAAUGAAGGACAGUAAUUUUCAUUGCAAAAUAUAAUGUGCCAUAAUAUGCUGAUGUCAGAGACUUCAUUUAUUCAAAGCACCACUAUCAAAAAAACCAGGUUUCUCAACCUUAGCAUGUUGACAUUUUGGGCUGAAUAUUUCUUUGCUGCGUGUUGGAGGGUUGGGGUGGCCGUUCUGUGCAUCGUAGGAUGUUCAGCAGCAUCCCUGGUCCCCAACCCCUAGAUGCCAGGAACCCCCGAGUUGUGACAAUCGAGAAUGUCUCUAGACAUUGCCAAAUGCCCCUGGGGAAUGACAUCAUCUCCAGUUGAAGGACCACUAAUCUAAAGUGAGAAGUUUCUGUGCUCAGUUCUGUAGCUGUCCCAUCUCUAGUAAUUUAUCAUGUUCUUCCAAGUUCCUUCCACCCCCCCAAAAAUACAGGUUUUAUGCCCUUAAAGGCCAUUAGAUAACUGUCUGGUUUCUGGAAGAGGUAAGAGGCUUGUGUCGCAGGUGUUACUGAGCCCAGUUGGGGCAGAGGGGAGCCUUGGCCCAGUGCUCUGGGUGCUGUCGCCUCCUUGGGCAGGGGGCCCCUCAUCACCAGCUGCUGUGCACUCCUCUGCCAUCUCCUAUGCAAACAUGGUGCAUCCUCCCUUCUUCCCUCCCUUUCCUCCUCUCCCAUGUCCUUGUUCUGCUGCUGCUCAGUUUCAUUUGACAGUCCUGUCUUGUGCAUCUUGGCACACUUUGGUCAAAUCUUCUCGGGUUUUCUUUUGUGGUUUUGUUUAAGAACUCAAGGUGUAAAUGCAGUGUGGUUCCAGCUGUAAUUUCUCACACGCACUCACCCUAAAAACAAGGAGUCAGAGCUGUGGGAUGCAAGAGCCAUCCUGGAAUAGGGGUUUAAGUGAGGGAAGGAGGCCCCUUCAUCUUCCUCCCUUGUUCUGAAACUCUUCAUGGGGUGAUGGCAUGAGCCUUGGGUGACUGCAGCCUCCCCUCCUGCUCAAGGCUUCCCUCUGUAGAUUCAGCACUUUCUUGGUGUGGGUUCAAGCCCUUUGGAGUCCGAGCUGGGAACACAGGGGUUUAGGAAACAGAGGAGAAAGGAACUUGCCUGUUAGUUGAGUUAAUUGCUAUUUUAGCAUCUCAAGGCGUUUCCUCAAACAGCCUUGCAGAGUCCAUUUGUGACAGGGUUGUGGUGUGAAGUGGAAAGGACAGCAGAGCAGAGUCAGGGGACUGUGACCCUGGAUGAACUACUUAUUAUGGUUUCCUGAACCUCACUCACAGCACCUGCCUCAGUACAAUGCAAGCCCUGAGAAAUGCUUGCAAUACACAUGGCUUGAAAGAGAUUAUGAUUCAGUUUGGUUCAUAGAAACCUUUCAUUUCAGAAGUAGUAUGACCAGAGGAAGAAGCUAGGAGGGUGAGGGCUGAUUCUGUGAAAAACCUUUGGGGGAAAGGCCUUUCCUCACCAGGCCGGCCAGAGGAGCCAGGUCUGGGAGGCUGGCCGCAGCGGGGACUGUGGGACAGCAGUCAGUGUGCCUGAAACCUUGGGCUGAGCGAGGACGCCUCAAGAAGGGGAGAUAGGGGUGUUCAGGAAGAGCCCAGAUGGGAUUCAGAGGCUCUUGCUUCCUUGGUGAGGGAGACAUUUGCUGGCACAAAGCCCUGAUGAGGAAGAAGGUCACUAAGCCUGUGCUCCGGGUGGUACCCUGGGGCCAGCGAGGAGGCACUUGCCGAAACCACACACUUCCUUACAUUCCAUAGCAAAGUAAUCCAUAUGGGGAUAUAAAGAAGCAUGUGGCCUCGGGAAGCAGUGUCAUCCAGAAGCAGCCCGCAUCUCAGAAGUAGGCCACUUGUAGCAUCUUUCCUCCUUGCCCAGGCAGGAAACGCUUAGCGAGAAGAUCACUGGGAUCUCAACUCAUCCUAAAUCCCCCCCGACCAAAUCAUCCUGAAAUAAAUCUGUUGUGAGGAAUGGCAGUGCUGCUUGGGACCAAAUCCUUCCUACUGUUUGUUCACAGGUAAACAGCACCACGUUUCCCUGGCUUAUUCUUGUGCAGCUACAGUCUAUCGAGUCCUUUGUUAUUACUACUAAUUAAUUCACUGCUGCUGUUUUUGUGCAUUUUGAAUGUGAUUCUUUUUUAAUGUUUGGGAUCCAGUGAAGGGAAAAUUAAAAAGAAGAGAGAAUCCAACAGAGAAAUUUUCCACAUUCACGCAGAGAGCCACUCAUGCUUAGAAACACACCGGCCCUCCUGUACUUCCUACUGUACGUCUAUCUGUUUUGGGUGCUUGUUGAUGGGCAGCAGCUGCCCAUCCAGCAUUCCAAGCACCAUUGUUCACUGUGGGAAGGAUCCUUUUGUCGAGCUUCUGCUCCCCCUAGCCCAUCACCUGCCCCACAAUCUGUGAGGCCUGAGCCUCAGAAGGAUGAGGGACAUUGGCAGCUGUUGAGCCACUCAGGGUCUGGACGGCCACCCUGGCUGGAGGGAGAUGGGAUUUUGAACUUUGUGGUAUCUGAUUCUCUGCCAGAAAAUGGGGAAACAUAUGCCAAAGGAAGAGUUGGCCCCCAAAAAAGGUUUGAGGCUCACAGCACUGGCUGGGGUGGUUAAAAACAUUUAAUCACAGUAAUAAAAAAUAAGAGGUAACUUUUUAUAAGUAUGCUUUCUAUAACAGAAUCAUUACAGUGUUUUGCGUAUGUGAGCUCCUUGACUCCUACCUACUCUAUGAAAUGUAGCCAUUUUAUCUGAUUUUACAGAUGAGGAAAAUGAGGAUCGUAGAAAUGUAUUAAUUAUCAUAUUUAUAAAUGGUAAUUCUUUUAAAAAAACUAAUCAGAUUGGAGGCACAGUUUUGGAUCAACCCAUGGAGAGAGGCUUAGAAGGUAAAAAAAAUGUUGAGAAGGAAGAAAAGGAAACACUAUAGGUUUUUGAUUUGGUGUACCUUUAUCCUUUCUGUAACUCUGCGCUUGGGGUGUUGUUGAUGGAGGUGGCUUAGAAAGCAUACUGUUUCUUAGGAAAAUAGGAAAAUGUCUCUGGCAUCCCAGUCAAAAUCUUUCGGGCUGCCCUUGGGAAUCAUCCAAUGGCUCAUCCAAUUCCAUCCAGUGGCUAUGUAAGCUUCUGCUCUGAAAACACUGUUUUCUCCCAUAGUCAAGUAUGAACUUCAUAGAAGUGAGAGUGUGGGGCUACCCUUCCUUCUCUAAGUUUGGGGGCAGUGGGCAACCAAAAACACACUAUCAGGGGCUGAUGUCAGGGAGGCAGCUUGGUCAAAGGAGGAAGGAGGUGUGUCUGUGCCUCUAAGAAAAUAAAAAUGUCUCAUUUCUUUCAUAGAACCAGGGAACUUAAGAGCUGAAUAAAUGUCCAUUUUAACUAGUUACAUCUGUCAGAUGGAGAUCCUCCAAAGUGUUUGGCAUUUGAGUUGUGAGGAGUGAGGGUUUGCACCGAUGAGAGGAACCAUCGAGUUUUAUGUUCAAAGAACUAGAAAGAGCCAGCUUUAAGAGACUUGCUAUUCAUGAGCCAGGCUGAGCUUCAUACAUUUAUGUAGGAAUACAAAAGAAAAA
Molecule: long non-coding RNA, 4423 nt
Organism: Pan troglodytes (chimpanzee)
Lineage: Eukaryota; Metazoa; Chordata; Mammalia; Primates; Hominidae
Exons: 2
Source: RefSeq, a predicted model, not a curated record